This 318-nucleotide ribosomal RNA is filed under the name uncultured eukaryote. Its description in RNAcentral is "partial 18S ribosomal RNA". It matches the Rfam family "Eukaryotic small subunit ribosomal RNA", at positions 1470 to 1796 of the family's 1831-position model. The record is from RNAcentral.
CCCUUAGGUGUCCUGGGCCGCACGCGUGCUACACUGACGCAUACAGCGAGCACUUUCCAGUUCCGAGAGGCUACUGGUAAUCAUCAAUAUGCGUCGUGAUGGGGAUAGAUCUUUGGAAUUCUGGAUCUUGAACGAGGAAUGCCUAGUAAUCGCAGGUCAUUAGCCUGCGAUGAUUAAGUCCCUGCCCUUUGUACACACCGCCCGUCGCUACUACCGAUUUCGAGUGGUCAGGUGAAUCUUUCGGACUGUGGGCGCCCUUGAGGUGUUCGCGGAAAGUCAGGUAAAUCUUAUCACUUAGAGGAAGUAAAAGUCGUAACA